This 30-nucleotide non-coding RNA is filed under the name Mus musculus (house mouse). Lineage: Eukaryota; Metazoa; Chordata; Mammalia; Rodentia; Muridae. The record is from RNAcentral.
UGCUAUUUUUCUAUCUCUUAAGAGUGAUGC